UCCUGGGCUUUCAAGACUUCAUUCCUCUAGGUGAUCAUAUCAAGGUAUUCAUUGAGAGCAACUUGCAACUCACCUUUGAGCCCUCCUUCAUGGAAUCUAGCAGUUCAACGUGAGUCUCCACAUCAUCAAGCUUCUCUUUUACAUCACUUAUGAUCACUUCCAUCUUGGAUAGCCUUCUGUCCAUGGUAGACUAAAUGUCUCUCAAAUUGGUUUUCUUCCCUCUUCCGUGGCUUUGCUCAUGGGCCUCUAGAUGUUAACUAACCACAUUCUCUGGGAUGCCAUCUCCUCAACUGUGAUCUA
RNAcentral lists this long non-coding RNA (300 nucleotides) under Durio zibethinus. RNAcentral describes it as "long non-coding RNA (DZIB_LNC000995)". Lineage: Eukaryota; Viridiplantae; Streptophyta; Magnoliopsida; Malvales; Malvaceae. The record is from RNAcentral.